ACCCAGCUGCUGAGUCAGGCUGUUCUCGCUCCCCGCUCGCCCGCCCGCUCGGGACAUUGUGUUCCAGCCCCGGCGCGCUGGCACCAGGCCCAGGCGCUCACACCAGCCUCCUCGCCCUGUUUGUGCUCGCGGCUUGCGCUCGGCGCGCAGCCUCCCCGCCGCCGCAGCCCUGCGAACGCGCGCCGGGGCCGGGGCCGGGCGCAGGCACCAGGCACAGCCGGGGACCGGAGCGCAACCCCAGGGACGCGCGCCCCGGCCGGCUGGGCCCCGCUGCCCUGCCCGGCCGCCAGCGUUAGAGCACGCAGAUCUGUCCAUCCCCCACGUGAGCCCAGGUUUGGAACCCCAGGGAAAUUCCUCCGUGCUGGACCGCACCCGCCCUUGAGGACCUCCCGAUCUCUUUGGGCAGAACGGAAGCCAGACAGAGACGGGGACUGCGAAGUGACAAUCCCCAGCCCUGUAUGUGCCAGGAGCCCCUGAGGGGCAGGCGGCCAUGCGGCAGGAGGGCAGGGGCCGCCGAGGGAGCCGGGCCUGGGCUGCUGGGACAGAGCGCUUCUCAGAGGAGGUGGGGACCCCGUGGAGUACGUGACUCUGGCCCCUCCAGCCUGCGCACACUCCAGUUAGCGGGACAGAGACCCCUCCCCACCCAUCCUUAACCUUCCACAGCUUCCCGCUCUGCUGGGAGGCCCUGUCACCACACACACACACACCCUUCCCAGACACCCCCGAGAGGACCAGCUGCAGCUGGGGGGUGGGGAGAGCACCGUCAGGGUUCUCGGAUCGCUCGCCCCCAACUGCUGAGCCGCUUCGAGGUUUAAAGCAAAACAUGAUUCUGUCCUUCCUGCCGCUCCGAGGCACCCGCGUUAUUUUUAGCAGGGAUGCAGGGCAGGCACAUUUCUCCUUGACUUUCACUGGGGACAUCCCCCCACCCCCCAGCCAAGACUCAGCCUGGGGAGGCCAGGACGGAAACCCCCCUCCCAGAAAGGGGAAACGGGUGUGUUUUCUGUUCCUUCAACUCACCAGAACAGGAGUUACGGUCAAGCUUGGGGUUGCACUGAUGGGAAAUUCUAGGCUCCAAAGCCCAUGGGCUCCAUGCCAUCCCUAUGAAACUGGGAGCAAGGGGAGCAUGGUGUCUGGAGUGGAGAUGCCCAGUUGGGGGGUGUUGGCGUCCCAGGGGAGCCACUUGGUCACCGCCGGGCAUUGUGGACUAGACAGGGCACCAGCAUUCUGGGUGGUAUUUACACAGGCUAAGCAUGGCUGUUCUUGGUAUUUCUCUGUUUGUGUGUCUUUUAGAUGCUAGCAGUACUUUAUUGAGGUAUAAUCUACAUACGGUAAAAUGCACAAAUCUUAAGCGUACCACUCGAUGAAUUUUGACAAAUGCAUAUUUCCGUGUAACCAUCACCUAGAUUAAGAUUUUGAACUUUUUUUGGCACCCCUAAGUUCCCUUGUGCCUCUUCCCAGUCAGUCCUCACCCCAGAGAUGACUACGGUGUGAUUUCUAUCACCAUGGAUCAGUUUCGUGUGUGUGUGUGUGUGUGUGUGUAUUUUACAAAGUUAAAAGAAAUACAGCUGCCAUCACAGAAGAGGUAAGUGAGCAAUACAAAUUUUAGCAUGAAAGGGGGUCCUCAAAAAAGGAGAGUUAUGGGACUUUGAAAAAAUUAAGGAAUCAUUGGCACGGGAAACAGGAGGUUCAGAGCCAACCCAACCCCUCACGAUUGGGACAGAGGGCUUGGGACACUUCUGGGAGCAGAGAGGCAGAGAGGGGGAAGAGCAGGAGUGAGAGAGAGGCCUGCCAGGGCUCCUCCUGGGUCCAGCCACCCCUGUGUUCUGCUCUGGGUCUGUGCCCCCUCUUAGCCCCCUCACCACGGCAGAUUUCAGCAAAGCCAAGGCUGCAAGGAGGGGCACUCUCAAGGGCAUCUACCCAGAGACGGGGAGAACUAGGGCCUCUGCACAAUUAGGUUAUUUAUCUUUUCUGCCUUCCCUUUCAAAGUCUGUAUGAUUCUGGGCCUCCUUCACCCUUUGGCCUGCUUGGGGAGGGGAGAGGCUGGGGCUCUCAAAGGAGGGUGGUAGAAGGAGAGUCAUGGAGCUCCACAUUUCUCUUUCCUUCAUUUGAGAACACAUAUUUGAGCCCCAACCUUGUGCUGUAGCUUCUGCUGGGUGCUAGGGGUAGGAGGAUGACUAAGACAAAUUUUCACUCACUAAGGAGUCAAGGGGAGCAUUGCCCAGUGAGGCAAGGCCUUAUAGCCCCUUCAAAUCAGAAAUGAGGGGCUCAGAGAGGUAAAGUGACUUAUUCAGUGUCACACAGCUAGCUGCUGGCAGAGGGAGGCCAAGAACAGGGAGCCUUGACUCAGCCCUUCAUCAGCUGGGGAUGAGAAAGCAAAGGAAGCAAAAUCAACCGUUUGAGUCCCUGGCGCUCUUCCUCGCGGGCUUUCUGGAGCAGCAGAAAGAGCACUGACCUGGAAGUCGGGGCACCUCGUUUCUGCUUCUAGCUCUUAGAAGCACUUUCUUUCUGACCCCUGGUUUUCUCCCACGUGCCUGAAGAAGGCAGCCUCCAGAGAAGCGUUGAGGUUCUUUCAGCCCUAACUUUCUCAAGCAGACCCUGCAUUUUCUCACCUCGGUGCCUCUGCUCCAGUUGUGUCUGCCACCUAGAAUGCCCCCUUUCCCUCCCACUUCCUUCCUCUGACAUUCUUCCAGUCGUUUAUGACCUAAUUCAAAUGCUGCCCCUUGAGGCCCCCAUGGUAUUUGGGGAUCUUUUGAGUGGUGUCACCUACGUCUCCACUGCUAGAGCAGACAGAGCCCCCCCCUCACCUUGGGACCCUCCCAUCCCAGAGCAGGGCCUCCCACUGAGAAGGCAUCUUCUUUACCAGCAACUGCUGGAGGAGUUGAAGUGAAUUCUUGCUCACGCCCCACACUUCCACGUGCCUCUUUCAGCUUUCAGAGACUGAGCUCACCCCUCCUCAGGGCCUCCAAGAGAUUGUGCCUUCCUGCUGGGCAGGCCAGCCCAACCCAGGGCAUCAAACUGGGGCACUUUUGGCAAAGGCCCUGGGAGGUGACCCCAAGAAGAUUGAGAAGGACAGGCAGGGCCUCAGCCAGAAGGAUGGCUGCUCCACCUCACCUGACCUGUCCUCAGUCCCAAACGCCUGGGCAGAAAUCCUCCCUCACAGUAAACAUAUGGCUGCUGUUCCCACAAUGACACCCAGGCCCACUCCUACCUACUUGCCCACAAACAGAUUAGCAACUUUGCAAAAAUGAACCCCGCUGCUCUCUCUACUCUGGAAAUACACACAUGCACGCUCAUCGUACAUAUGCACAUGGGCACACACAGACAUGCACAUCGGCAACAUAUACAUGGACAUACAUGCAGACACAUAGAUGUAUACAUGAGCACCAUGAGUGCAUGUGUGAGCAUGCAGCCAUGCCCACAUGCCCCGUGGGUGCACACACUCUCACACAUGUGCACACAUGGGUACACAGGCUCGCAUGUAUGCACGCAUGGGUGCACAUAUAGGCACACUCACUCCCCCAUGAUGAUGUGGGGCUCCUUUCCACGCUCAGCUCUCAGGGGAGCCCAGCUCAUGCUUGCUGAGCCAAGGAUGCUCCAGGGGAACGUGGGAUGAGGAAAGCGCUCCAUUGUUGGGGUCUGGCUGCCUCUGGAUUUACAUCAAACUGGGGUCUUUUGUCUUAAUUUUCCUUACUGAUGGCCCUGUGGGAAGCAGAGAAAGCCCAAGAGCUAUGGGUUCACUCCAGGCAGCACCUUGCUUGGGUGGCCAGCAGGGAUGGGAGUUGGGGAGGGGGGGCGGCGAGUAAGGCUUCCAUCCUCCUGUGAACAAAUGUCUCCAAGGAGCCAUCGUUCUAUGGGACCAGUAAAUGUGGGACUGACCUUCUCAAUGCUUUCACUGUCACUCUCUUCAUUCCAUCCAUUCCUCCCAUUGCUGCAGGGGCCUCUGGCCCAUGUCCUCUUCCUGUGGGGAGAUGGGAAAGCUUUGAAGAGAGCCCAGUCCCAAGGUUGAUGUGGCAGCUCUGGGGUUGACAGCAGGGUCCUCGGCAGGCUGGCCCCCUCAGGUGGAAGGGGGGCUUCUCUUGGACUCCCCCAGGGCAGCACAGCACUAAUUCAGAGGCUGGCGAGGUGGAGUGGUGCUGUUUGUGAUACAGUUAUCUGAUCUAGAGGGUUGGGCAGGGAGCAAGCUUGGAUCCCGUUAAACCCAGUUCAGCUGCAGCCCCUGAGCACAGAGCAUAGG
Molecule: long non-coding RNA, 4234 nt
Organism: Equus asinus (donkey)
Lineage: Eukaryota; Metazoa; Chordata; Mammalia; Perissodactyla; Equidae
Source: Ensembl